Molecule: ribosomal RNA, 492 nt
Filed under: uncultured bacterium
Lineage: Bacteria
Description: partial 16S ribosomal RNA
Rfam family: Bacterial small subunit ribosomal RNA
Source: RNAcentral
AGUGAACGCUGGCGGUAGGCCUAACACAUGCAAGUCGAACGGCAGCACAGUAAGAGCUUGCUCUUACGGGUGGCGAGUGGCGGACGGGUGAGGAGUACAUCGGAAUCUACUUUUUCGUGGGGGAUAACGUAGGGAAACUUACGCUAAUACCGCAUACGACCUACGGGUGAAAGCAGGGGAUCUUCGGACCUUGCGCGAUUGAAUGAGCCGAUGUCGGAUUAGCUAGUUGGCGGGGUAAAGGCCUACCAAGGCGACGAUCCGUAGCUGGUCUGAGAGGAUGAUCAGCCACACUGGAACUGAGACACGGUCCAGACUCCUACGGGAGGCAGCAGUGGGGAAUAUUGGACAAAGGGCGCAAGCCUGAUCCAGCCAUACCGCGUGGGUGAAGAAGGCCUUCGGGUUGUAAAGCCCUUUUGUUGGGAAAGAAAAGCAGCAGGUUAAUACCCCGCUGUUCUGACGGUACCCAAAGAAUAAGCACCGGCUAACUUCGUG